GACGAACGCUGGCGGCGUGCUUAACACAUGCAAGUCGAACGGAAAGGCCCUGCUUGUAUGGUACUCGAGUGGGGAACGGGUGAGUGACACACGGGUGAACUGCCCUCCUCUCCGGGUGAAGCCUGUGAGACAGGGUGGAAUACAGGGUAGAAGACAUUUUGAGUCUGAUGGUUGGAAAGUUUGUUCCGUGUAGGAUGAGCUGGCUGCCUAAUAGCUUGUUGGUUGGGUAAUGGGUUACCAAGGCGGCGGCGGGUAGCCGGCCAGCGAGGGUGGACGGCCACCUUGGGACUGAGGGGCGGCCCAGACACCUACGGGAGGGAACAGUGGGGAAUAUUGCACGAUGGGCGCAAGGCUGGUGCAGCGACGCCGCGUGGCGGAAGACGGCCUUAGGGUUGUAAAACCCUUUCGCUAGGGACGGAGCUUUUUGUGACGGUACCUAGAUAAGAAGCACCGGCUAACUACGUG
Molecule: ribosomal RNA, 465 nt
Filed under: uncultured bacterium
Lineage: Bacteria
Description: partial 16S ribosomal RNA
Rfam family: Bacterial small subunit ribosomal RNA
Source: RNAcentral